GACGAACGCUGGCGGCGUGCUUAACACAUGCAAGUCGAACGGAAAGGCCCUGCUUUUGUGGGGUGCUCGAGUGGCGAACGGGUGAGUAACACGUGAGUAACCUGCCCUUGACUUUGGGAUAACUUCAGGAAACUGGGGCUAAUACCGGAUAGGAGCUCCUGCUGCAUGGUGGGGGUUGGAAAGUUUCGGCGGUUGGGGAUGGACUCGCGGCUUAUCAGCUUGUUGGUGGGGUAGUGGCUUACCAAGGCUUUGACGGGUAGCCGGCCUGAGAGGGUGACCGGCCACAUUGGGACUGAGAUACGGCCCAGACUCCUACGGGAGGCAGCAGUGGGGAAUAUUGCACAAUGGGCGGAAGCCUGAUGCAGCAACGCCGCGUGCGGGAUGACGGCCUUCGGGUUGUAAACCGCUUUCGCCUGUGACGAAGCGUGAGUGACGGUAAUGGGUAAAGAAGCACCGACAAACUACGUG
This 468-nucleotide ribosomal RNA is filed under the name uncultured bacterium. Its description in RNAcentral is "partial 16S ribosomal RNA". It matches the Rfam family "Bacterial small subunit ribosomal RNA", at positions 28 to 507 of the family's 1533-position model. The record is from RNAcentral.